UACGAAGGGGGCUAGCGUUGUUCGGAAUUACUGGGCGUAAAGGGCGCGUAGGCGGUACUUCAAGUCAGGCGUGAAAGCCCCGGGCUCAACCUGGGAACCGCGCUUGAGACUGGAGAACUCGAGUUCGGGAGAGGAUGGUGGAAUUCCCAGUGUAGAGGUGAAAUUCGUAGAUAUUGGGAAGAACACCGAUGGCGAAGGCAGCCAUCUGGACCGACACUGACGCUGAGGCGCGAAAGCCAGGGGAGCAAACGGG
Molecule: ribosomal RNA, 253 nt
Filed under: uncultured bacterium
Lineage: Bacteria
Description: partial 16S ribosomal RNA
Rfam family: Bacterial small subunit ribosomal RNA
Source: RNAcentral